This 1117-nucleotide long non-coding RNA is filed under the name Zonotrichia albicollis (white-throated sparrow). RNAcentral's name for it is "lncRNA (ENSZALG00000007392.1)". The record is from RNAcentral. Lineage: Eukaryota; Metazoa; Chordata; Aves; Passeriformes; Passerellidae.
CUGCGGGGACACGGCUGAGGGGCCACGGCCGCAGGAAGCGGGGCUGAGGGGCCCGGCCUCAGGGACGCGGCCGCAGGAAGCGGGGCUGCGGGGACACGGCCGCACGUGACGCGCCCACGUCCGCCUCCGCCGGAAAGGAGCCCGCAGCUCUGCGCGGCUGAUGAGGACCAGCCCCUCUUGGUUGUUGCAGCUCUACCGGCUCUCAGCCAGCAGGGACCAGAAAAGCUGGGGUCCAACAGUGGCAUGGAUCCCUGAGCACAAGACAAGGCAGCCUGAGCAUGUAAGAAGUCCAGUUUGCUUCUCAACGUGAGUAGAUGAGGUUUGGGUGGGAAAGUAAUGGGAAUGCUAAAUGUUUGCUGCUGACAUUUACAAAAAAGACAGCAAAUCCCGUCUGUAUUAAUGUUUAGGUUUUGAGACGCAGCAGAAUUUUACUUUGUUAAAGAAGGUUAAGGAAACCUAGAAGUAGCUCUUUAAUCUUCAACUGGAAAAUACAAUUUUGAAAUCCAUUCUCUUAGGAGUGAAAUAAUCAGAGUGAUAAUGGAUGUUAAACCUACUCUGAAUGUUAUUUAAAGGAUUUCUCAGAUGGAAACAAAAGUUGAUAGGAUGGUGUCAGGCUCAAAUGAACAUCACCUUUACUUACACAGUUGUCCACAUAAAGAAGAGAGGUUGAUCAGCAUGUAUUUUCUGGUUAAGUGAUUGUUUAGAAAUUAUCAAAAGUCAUUAUGUGAUUCUUAAAUACUUCCAUUUGCUCUUUGUUCCAACAAAAGGCUGUUGGAACCAUAUCCACGUGUUUUUACAAGCACGGCUCUAUGCAUGAGGACUUCACCACAAAGAGUUUCCAGUGAAAGGAAAGAUUGCAGGAGUCUUCAGCAUUGAGGAGAAAAAAAUUGUUAGUCUUUCCCCUCCUACUGCUGACCUGUUCCUCUUGGCACAUUUUUGAUCUCCCUUGGUCAGUCUGUGCCUGAUACCGUGUAUACGUGUCCUGUUCCCCACACUGUAAUGCUCUCCUGUUUUUCCCAAAUGUUGUUACAUUUCCUUUCUCCUCCUCUAUUUUUCAGUUCUCUUUCCCAUUUGUAAUGCAUCAGCUGUCUUUGUUGUUUUUCACUUCUAAUUUAAU